GACCAUACUUGGGGCAUGUGGAGGUUCCCAGGCUAAGGUCUAAUCGAAGCUGUUUCUGCUGGCCCACGCCAGAGCCACAGCAACAUGGGAUCUGAGCCGUGUCUGCGACCUACACUGCAGCUCAUGGCAAUGCCGGAUCCUUAACCCACUGAGCGAGGCCAGGGAUUGAACCUGCAACCUCAUGGUUCCUAGUCGGAUUCAUUUCCUCUGUGCCACAAAAAAAAGCAUGAGUUCUAAAAGUCAAUUUUUAUUUACUCAUAUUUCUAAAAGGAUAAGAGGUGUUAUGAAUAUUCUUAAAUUACUCUUGGUGGCCCCAGGGAAAAGAUUUAAGAGUAAAAGAAGUGAUUAAAUUGGUGUCUCUUAGACAGAGUUACCAUUUGUAUGGGGCUAGAACAAAUGAUCUCAUAUAAAUACACUUCUGUCAAUGGCUUCUAUAGGUUAUUACUAUAUUUUUAAUAUCUGGAUUUCUAUAAUAGCAAGUCUGUUUAUUUUUAAGUAUUUCCUGUGGUGCAUAGGAAUACUAAAUUGUGGAUUUUGUAGAAAGCUAAAACAUGUAGGAAUUCUUACAAUUUUAUAAACUCUUUGACUAAACAACUGAACAAACAAGUCAAAAAAAUAUAUUAUUGACCAUCUACCUGGUAGGUAGGUAAGCUAAUUCCUCCUCAGACAAGGCUUACAAGCUAGAGCAGAAUACAUAUAUGAAACCAAGUUUAAAGUCUGCUUCUGGAUAUAGAACUAACCAUCCCUGGGCAUUUGUGAGAGAUCUCUAAAUGUGACAUAUAAGUUGAUACUUGAUUAAUGGGCAGGAAUGAGUUAGGAAAGGAGAAAGAGGGAAGUAAACAGGAUUUCAGGCAGAAGAAAGAAUAAGGCAAAGAUCUUGAGGCAGAGAAGAACCUUUUAUGUCCAAGAAAUGAAGUCCAACAGGGCUGGUGCAUAGAUGCGAGCCAAGAUUGGGAAAAAAGGAAAUAAACAGGGCAUAGGUCAUUGCCUCCUACAAUGGUAUAUUAUGUGGAAAUUAUGAAGCUCAAAACACUGCAGGAUUCCCUCAAAAGGAUCUCCAAAUGGGUUAUGUCAGUAAAUGUCAACUUCAAUCAAAUCCUCUUUCUCUUUUGCUUUCUUCUUCUGGAAAGCUACCUGCUCAAUCUCCCCACCAUACUUGCAGUUAAGCUGUGCCAUAUCUCUGGGAAAUGAGAUGUUAGAAAGUCCCAGUGAAGGGCAUCACUUUUGAAUAGAAGCCAAAGCCCUAUUAGGAGAAAUAAUCUUUAUUCUUAUUCCAUUUUGCCUUUCUGCAUGUUUGGUGUCUAGAAGGUAGAUAUGAGGCUUGAAGAUAUAGCAGCCAUCUUGCAACACGAGGAUAAAGCCCUGCAUUUUAAGGAUGGUGAUAACAAAAUACAGAAAGAGCCCGAGACUGGUGGGUGGAGGAUUGGACUUAUUUUGCAGUCGAUGUCACUAGCAGCAUGUAGUACAGUGCACUGCACAGAUUGUGUGGUCUUAUGCACAUGCCUUGCCUGCACUCCCAUUAGCAGGGGCCAUUGAGCCACCUUAUCAGUACUGAGCUGUCUAUUCCCAUACUUACUGAAGCCGUCAAAGUUGAGUGUUCUGAUAACUGCUACCAAUCACAUUUCUAACUUUCAGUAAUGUUAUAUUUCACCAAUUUAUGGGUCAAAUAUUUAUGUCAAAAGCCUGUUUAUUACCUGUAGAAAAAAUAUUUUUGGCAGUCUGCUCUUUUCUCUCUGUGUGAAUGUGUAAUUACUGUCUUGGAGUACUGCUUUCUACCCCCAGGCAGUGUUCUUCUAAAGAAUUCAAAUGUAAUAUCCUCGGAGUCCGCCCUUCUUCAUUUCAGGAAAAAUUAGUUCAUCACUUCUAGGGCUCCUCAGGAACUCUGGGUUACUGACCACUUAAUCACAUUCUCUUACAGUUCUUUGUAUCUCCUCUCCAUCUUUCCUGUCAUCUUGAGAGCUCCACAAGGUACUGUUCUUAAAUUUACUGCUUAUCCCUCUUGCCUAGAAUGUUAUACUGUUAACUUAGAAUACUAGUGCUAAUAGUAAACACGUGUUAUUCUUCAAGUUACAUUAAAACUUUAUUUUAAUAAGCACUUAUAUAGUGCUUACCAUAUUCCAGACCCUGUAGAUUUGGUGAAUUUAAUACUUAUAACUGCCCAUUGAGGUAGGCACUAUUAUCAUCUUAAUUUUAUAGAUGAGGGAAUUGUGGCCUAGAAGACUGAGGUAACCAUCUCAAAGUCACAGAUCUAGUAAGUUGCAGAGCUUGGAUUAAAACACAGAUAAGGGUGUUUGUGAUUGAAAUAGAAUCUCAGAAUUAAAUUUCAUAUCAAGGGAACCUUGGAAAUAAUCCGAUCUCUUCAUAUACAAGCAGAUACUGUAUAUGACAUAGAGGGACAUGGAGAUAGCAGGUAACUUAUUAAAUGUCAGAAUGUUAACUGGUGUUAAGAACUGAGACUCUGGUUCAGAUCUCCUGAUUUACAGAUUAACACUGCUUCAUUGGCUCCCAGAUUCAUUUUCUAUCAAAAUCAUCUGGGAAACUUGUGAUAAUCCAGAAACCACUUUCCAAACAUUCUGAUUUGAAAUAAUAGAUUUUUAAAAAUACUCUCAAGGUAAUUUAGUUAUAAUACAGAAUUGGAAAUAGUGAGUCUGCAGUAGAUGUGGAUCUGUCUGGGUUCAUUGAUAAAAUAGAACCACCACAACUGUUAUGGGAAUAAGGCAUGUGAUUUACAUAUUAGGACUUACGUUAAUUAGGGAGAAGCUGGGAUAAUAAAGGUCUGAAAAAGUAGAGAUCAGAGAAACAGCCAAUAAUGACUUUGACCAGAAGCACCAUGUAUGCAUGAGUAUGUGAAGUAAAUAGAACUUAGGGGGAAAUCUGAGAACCUGCCAUGAAGAAGACAAGAGUGUCUGAAGAGGUAUGAAAAGUCUUUGCGCCUAUGUGCCACAACUUUCUAGGGAUAGUGGCUCUCACUUCACUUCUGUUUCCCAAAUUAUAUGGAAGUUCCUCUCAUCGCAAACUCUAACCCACAGUCUUAUACACAAGUUUGAAGAUUCUGAGAAUGUAGUUGCUCCUUUAGAAGGGAGAUUGGUGGUGCUGAGUGAACAACAGAUGCAGUGCCCCCAUGAUCCUUGUCCCCUUUGCUCUCAUCCUUGUGUGGUCCCCUCCCUUUAAGAGUGGGCAGGACUUGUGACUUGUUCCUGUGAAAUAUGGCAACACUAAUGGGAAGGAUGUGAUUACAUUUACAUGAUUACAUAAGGUGGCAGUACCUCUGUUGCUGGAGUCUUUUCAUCAUUAGCUUUAAAGAAGCAAGUUGCUAUGAAUUCUAAAACUUCAAGAAAAUGAAUGUUGCCAACGACUAUGCAAGUUGGCAAGUUGCUUUCCCCUAAGUGAGCCUCCAAAGGGACCCCACCCCAGGACUUUGUAACUUUUUCAAGUGAGAACUUGAAGCAGAGAAUCUAGGCAAGCCAUAUCCAGAUCCUUAACUCCUCAAAACUGUGAGAUAAUAAAUGUGUAUUAUUUUAAGCCUAUAUGUUUGUUGUAAUUUAUUACAUAGAACUAGAUAACUAAUAUCAGUCUGGUACAAAUACCCCAAGGAGCAGAUUGCUGAUAUUAAUGAAACCUGAAAUGUGGACUUUAGCUUUGGGAACAAGGAGUGAGCAGGAAGGGAUUUUCAUUGGACAGGGAAAAACGAUGAACUGUUUUACUGAGUGGCAACAUUUUUUUGGUAAAACCAAGCCUGCUCUGACUUAGAAGAAAGUAUAGAUAGUGAAUAAUCUUGUAACUUUGAUUUAGGUGCUAUUGAGGCAAAAUAAUGAAAGUGGGAGCCUGUUGCAACUCACUGCAUUUGACAAGGCACUCAAGAAAGAAAUAAGCUUGGGGGAAUAAUUGUCUGCAAACAGAAUUUAGAGUGAGUAUAAAUAAUUCAGAAAUUGCAGUGUUGUAAAUGACACCACUUCUCAACAAAUCCAAAGUGUGGCCAUUAUGGCAUAGCUUCAGUUUAAAUAACAAAUCAGAGCUGUGGCUGAUGCAGCCUUUGUUCAGGCCUGAGAAGAGUUUAAAAGGAUAUUUAAUAGAUUCUUUCAAUUGGAAAAAAAAGCUUCCAGAAAACUUAAGGAUGUGGUUCUACAAAAGCCCAAAGGAUCCAAAGAACCCAUAAUUCAAUCUGUAGAAGGAGGCAUGUCUUAAAAAAUGACUGUGGGGGGAUUUGAGCACAGGUAAUUGACUAGGAUCAAAUAUGUAGAGAACCGUAUUUGAGACACAAGUAUUUGAGAGAACUGUGUUAACAAAAUCUUUGUCGGCCUAAAUGAAAAGGGUCAGAGAUGUAUUUGAGAUGCAGAAGGACCUCUUUUUCCCACCAAAAUGCAUCUGUUCUUCCUUGCCCUUUUCAGAGGUAUAUGUCCAAAAUGUUGAAAAAGGAAGGACCUCUCAGAGAGCAGAGCCAAGAACUAUGGGAAGCAGUAGACCAGGGAGCUAUACCUGGUGGAAUAACCAGAGCCCAAUGAAGAAAAAUGACCCUCCUCAGAGUACAGCAAACUUGCAACAUUUUCCAGCAGUAUUUCAGAAAUUUGGGGGUACAGUGACUGUUAAGGUGCUGAGAAGUCAUCUGCAUUUUAGAUGGAAAUGUUAUCAUAAUUAUUCUAUCCCUCUUCACAUAGGAUGUUGGGAAUGUGGGGGUCUAAAGUAGAGUGUGGUAGAUUAGAUUACUUAGCAAAUAUUGACUUAUUUUCACCCCACUUUCUUCAGAAAAGUCUCUUUCCCUUCCCCAUUGCUUUUAGACUUGACAUUAUAACUUAAUUGGUCAAAGGAGUGUAAGCAGAAGUGGCAGUGUGCCGGUUAGAGGCUUAUACUUUAAAAGUCACCAAAUCUUUCUGCUUGUCCCUCAGGAAGCUCCAGGACACUUUAAUGAGAAGAACAUGGCCUGGAGUGGCUGUUGUCCAUUCAGCUUUAGUCCAGAAUGAAUAUACACAGAGCAGAGCCACAGAACUGUGAGUGUGAGAAAAAUAUUUAUUGUAUGCCACAAAGUUUGGGGGUGGUUUGUCACCAAAAUAAGCUACCUGACAUCGUGCCAGGUUAAAUUCUUUGCUUAUGCCCCAGUUUAUUCAUAUUCUGGCCCAUGUCCUAAUUGGAAUACCCAGUCACUCUAAUUUUUAACUAAUGCUUAAUACUUUGUAUAUAGAUUCAAAACUAUAAUAAUCAUUGUUCAUUCAUUCAAAAGUGUACUAUAAAUAUUAAGUACAGAAGAAUAAAGGCCCAUGAUAUGAGACCAAUUCUCAAAGGUUAAAAAAAUAUAUAUAUAUGUGUGUGUAUAUAUAUAUAUAUAUAUAUAUGUAUAUAUGAAUAUGAAGAGGAUGGGAAAGUGAGGGAGAGAUUGAAUUUUGGUCAAUAAAAUCUUCAUUGUCAUUAUUGCAUCAUCAAUGUGUGCAAUGCUGGAGGCGAGUAAGGAAAAAGAAGAACUGAAAGCUACGAGGAAUUAUGAAAUAGAAAGUAAGAAUGUUAUAAACCAAAGAAUUCAUGUGUCAUUAUACUUGGAGCAAGUUAAAAGGGUCUUCAUCUUUGUAUACCUUAGGAUGGGUAAAAAAGCAUGGAUUUAUUUUGCUCUGACUUAUGUUGUUAAUGUUGUUAGUAUACUUCCUGAACAGAGGAAAAAAUUCUCUCUCUCUUGUCAUGUUGACAGCUUUUGCUACAUAAAUAGAUAGCUAUGUAGGCAGAUACUAAGGUGUGAACUUCCCCCAUACAUUUUAAUUGGAUGCUAGACUUGAAGUGUGGAAUUGAGCAUUUAAAUGGUAAAGGUGCCCAUCAAAUAAGCCCAGAUAUCUGCUUUAAGUCGGUGCAGUGGGCACUGCAGAGUUAACAGUGGGACUACUUUGUUGUAUAUUAGCAGCUGGCUUGUAGAUCCUAGAAGCAGACCUAAAGAGGGGUGUUUAUGUGACCUCUAGAGAAAACACGUCUUUCCACAUUUUUUUUUUUUCCAUCUUAAAUCACUUCUAGAACAGACUGCUUUGGAAAACAGCCUUUGAAUUUUAAGUUUUUUGCAGAUCAGAGAUAAGCACUUUGAUUAUUUUUUUACCUCCAGGCUUUUUUGUUUGUUUGUUUUUGGCACUAGUGAAAUAUGAGUUGAUUAAUAUUAGCUGACUCAUAAUUAAUCCAUUGAUUAAUUCACCAAAUAAAUAUUUACUUAGUGUUUACAAGGUUACGGACCCUGGAGUCAUUACAUAAAAAAGCACAGGAAUGGUCACUGUUAUCCUAAAGUUUAUAUUUGAAAAAACCAGUAAAUUAUUGAAAGGAGAAAUAUAUAUA
This 6297-nucleotide long non-coding RNA is filed under the name Sus scrofa (pig). RNAcentral describes it as "lncRNA (ENSSSCG00000050127.1, ENSSSCG00055010433.1)". Lineage: Eukaryota; Metazoa; Chordata; Mammalia; Artiodactyla; Suidae. The record is from RNAcentral.